RNAcentral lists this unclassified non-coding RNA (215 nucleotides) under Hevea brasiliensis (rubber tree). The record is from RNAcentral. Lineage: Eukaryota; Viridiplantae; Streptophyta; Magnoliopsida; Malpighiales; Euphorbiaceae.
CCAAGAGAUACACCAUUUCUGUAAAACAAUAUCUCAUCAUGGUCCAGAUCAAUGCAACACCCAAUGACAUCACCAGCAACCCAUGACUGGCCAUAAGGCUCAGCCUCCUUAUUCCACUUUCUAACCCUUUUCCCAUCAAAUGCAUAAGAAUCAUCUGCAUCACCUACACCCUUAUGGUCAGUGAAAGGGCAAGAUAGGGUUGCCCAUCCAAGUUG